RNAcentral lists this ribosomal RNA (465 nucleotides) under uncultured bacterium. Its description in RNAcentral is "partial 16S ribosomal RNA". It matches the Rfam family "Bacterial small subunit ribosomal RNA", at positions 28 to 507 of the family's 1533-position model. The record is from RNAcentral.
GACGAACGCUGGCGGCGUGCUUAACACAUGCAAGUCGAACGGAAAGGCCCUGCUUGCAGGGUACUCGAGUGGCGAACGGGUGAGUAACACGUGGGUGAUCUGCCCUGCACUUCGGGAUAAGCCUGGGAAACUGGGUCUAAUACCGGAUAGGAGCCAUUUUUAGUGUGAUGGUUGGAAAGUUUUUUCGGUGUAGGAUGAGCUCGCGGCCUAUCAGCUUGUUGGUGGGGUAAUGGCCUACCAAGGCGGCGACGGGUAGCCGGCCUGAGAGGGUGGACGGCCACAUUGGGACUGAGAGACGGCCCAGACGCCGACGGGAGGCAGAAGGGGGGAAUAUUGCACAAGGGGCGCAAGGCGGAUGCAGCGACGCCGCGUGGGGGAUGACGGCCUUCGGGUUGUAAAAUCCUUUCGCUAGGGACGAAGCUUUUUGUGACGGUACCUAGAUAAGAAGCACCGGCUAACUACGUG